CACCCAUUUCCAUCUCCAGAACCACCCAAAAAUAUUCUAAUCCUAAUCCGGGAGAGAAUAGCCAAAAACAUACUCUUAUUUCUGUUUUCCCCUGCGAAAUAAAUGCUCAAGUUAUUUCGGUUACUACCACUUGCUACAUUAUUGCAAGAGAUGAGUACUCUAAAAAAAGAUACGAGGAAAUAAAAAGGGGCAAGUGACCGGAACCUCGAAGAAAAGAAAAAGUGAGAUGAGAGGUAAAAAUGGACAAGUGUCCGACAGUAGAAUUAGGGGUACAAGAUACACACCUGAGAGAAAAGAAAAAGAAAAUAUAGAGCAUCUCAUUCUCCUCAAAAAGUUUCAAAAGAGCAAGAAAGGUAUGUAUCCCUCAAAAGAGGACAAGUAGAAUUAGACUUUCACCAUUGUUAUCACCAUCAUCACCAUACACCAUCAAUUUGCCAC
This 438-nucleotide long non-coding RNA is filed under the name Sorghum bicolor (sorghum). RNAcentral's name for it is "long non-coding RNA (SBIC_LNC014599)". Lineage: Eukaryota; Viridiplantae; Streptophyta; Magnoliopsida; Poales; Poaceae. The record is from RNAcentral.